UACAGAGGUCUCAAGCGUUGUUCGGAAUUACUGGGCGUAAAGGGCGCGUAGGCGGCCCGUCAAGUCCCGUGUGAAAGCCCCCGGCUCAACCGGGGAACGGCGCGGGAAACUAGCAGGCUUGAGUUCGGGAGAGGGAAGCGGAAUUCCGGGUGUAGCGGUGAAAUGCGCAGAUAUCCGGAGGAACACCGGUGGCGAAGGCGGCUUCCUGGACCGACACUGACGCUGAGGCGCGAAAGCUAGGGGAGCAAACGGG
This 253-nucleotide ribosomal RNA is filed under the name uncultured bacterium. Its description in RNAcentral is "partial 16S ribosomal RNA". It matches the Rfam family "Bacterial small subunit ribosomal RNA", at positions 524 to 776 of the family's 1533-position model. The record is from RNAcentral.